RNAcentral lists this transfer RNA (84 nucleotides) under Micromonospora aurantiaca (nom. illeg.). RNAcentral describes it as "Micromonospora aurantiaca tRNA_Pseudo_???". The record is from RNAcentral. Lineage: Bacteria; Bacillati; Actinomycetota; Actinomycetes; Micromonosporales; Micromonosporaceae.
GGCCGCUUGCCAACGGCAAGAGCGCGGACGCCCUGUAAAUCCGUCGCGAAAGCUUCAGAGGUUCGAAUCCUCUACCCGCCACCA